Molecule: long non-coding RNA, 325 nt
Filed under: Mytilus galloprovincialis (Mediterranean mussel)
Lineage: Eukaryota; Metazoa; Mollusca; Bivalvia; Mytilida; Mytilidae
Source: RNAcentral
GUCUGGAAAAGUAAUGCUACCCGUCUUACUAGAAAUUAUUGUUUCUAGGGCUCCCUGUAUUAAGUUCAGAAAAAAAUUGUUCUUCUCUUUGUUAAAUACACCCCAUCUUCUGCUAGAGACUCGUGUUUAGCUUUUAUGUAAGGAUAUCGAAUGUAACAUCCAUGCUUUGUCAUGUGGACAACAAUGGAGCUGUUUAACCGACGCCUGCACUUGUCCAUACAUUACAAUUCCCAUUGUUUGAAGACCGUCAUUGCAGUCUUGGCAAUAAAACUUGAGACCAAAUCAAGUUGUAUCAGGCAAAUCAAUAUAUAACCUUGACAUAAAU